Molecule: microRNA, 20 nt
Filed under: Corchorus capsularis
Lineage: Eukaryota; Viridiplantae; Streptophyta; Magnoliopsida; Malvales; Malvaceae
Description: sRNA CCACVL1_14172
Source: RNAcentral
GUUUUUUUGUUUUUUUUUGU